Molecule: ribosomal RNA, 211 nt
Filed under: uncultured bacterium
Lineage: Bacteria
Description: partial 16S ribosomal RNA
Rfam family: Bacterial small subunit ribosomal RNA
Source: RNAcentral
UACGAAGGGGCUAGCGUUGUUCGGAAUUACUGGGCGUAAAGCGCGCGCAGGCGGUCUUCCAAGUCAGUGGUGAAAGCCCGGAGCUCAACUCCGGAACUGCCAUUUGAAACUGUUGGACUUGAGUACGAGAGAGGUGAGUGGAAUUCCCAGUGGUAGAGGUGAAAUUCGUAGAUAUUGGGAAAGAACACCGGUGGCGAAGGCGGCUCACUGG